UACGGGGGGGGCAAGCGUUGUUCGGAAUUACUGGGCGUAAAGCGUGCGUAGGUGGUUUGUUAAGUCUGAUGUGAAAGCCCUGGGCUCAACCUGGGAACGGCAUUGGAAACUGGCUUACUAGAGUGCGGUAGAGGGGUGUGGAAUUCCCGGUGUAGCAGUGAAAUGCGUAGAUAUCUGGAGGAACACCGGUGGCGAAGGCGGCAUCCUGGACCAAUACUGACGCUGAGGAGCGAAAGCUAGGGGAGCAAACGGG
Molecule: ribosomal RNA, 253 nt
Filed under: uncultured bacterium
Lineage: Bacteria
Description: partial 16S ribosomal RNA
Rfam family: Bacterial small subunit ribosomal RNA
Source: RNAcentral